GCCCGAUUACCUCAGUUGGUAGAGGAGUCCGCUCAUAACGGAUCGGUCCCGGGUUCGAAUCCCCGAUCGGGCACCA
This 76-nucleotide transfer RNA is filed under the name Segatella copri. RNAcentral's name for it is "tRNA-Met". It matches the Rfam family "tRNA". From Rfam's summary of the family: Transfer RNA (tRNA) molecules are approximately 80 nucleotides in length. Their secondary structure includes four short double-helical elements and three loops (D, anti-codon, and T loops). Further hydrogen bonds mediate the characteristic L-shaped molecular structure. tRNAs have two regions of fundamental functional importance: the anti-codon, which is responsible for specific mRNA codon recognition, and the 3' end, to which the tRNAs corresponding amino acid is attached (by aminoacyl-tRNA synthetases). tRNAs cope with the degeneracy of the genetic code in two manners: having more than one tRNA (with a specific anti-codon) for a particular amino acid; and 'wobble' base-pairing, i.e. permitting non-standard base-pairing at the 3rd anti-codon position. The record is from RNAcentral. Lineage: Bacteria; Pseudomonadati; Bacteroidota; Bacteroidia; Bacteroidales; Prevotellaceae.